GUCCGCCCCGCCACCGGGGAUCCCGUCGGCCUUCCCUUCAAAGCAGAGAACAAGCACUUGGAUCCCCACAAGACCACAAGAGUCUUUGGCGGCUAGUCUGCAGCAACCAAGUGAAUCGGGUCCUACGGCUCAAGGUCCUUGCUGGGCACCGCCUGCUUGCAUCGGUGACUCUACAUCACCUUGGUACAUGGCUGGCAAUAUGGACUACUCUGAUCCACAAGUAUGGGGAGUGGAUUCUCACCCACCUGGUGGUUACCUUAGUUACUUUCAGAACACGGCAUUGAUUGCUAGGAAGUAUUGAUUGCAUGCAUUGGCGAUGGGAGAAGUGUCCUCUUGCAUGGAGGGGGCAAUUCACCCGCGGCGAUUAUGGAGUACCAACGAUGAUCCUAGAAGCUGUUGCUUCCCAGGACCUUCGUAUUUGGCAUGCUUUUUUUGGAGUUGCUGGGUCAAAUAAUGAUCUGAAUGUGCUCAAUCAAUCCCCACUGUUUUUUGAUGCACUGAAAGGAGAAGCCCCUCAAGUCCAAUUUUCUGUCAAUGGGAAUGAGUAUACCACAGGUUACUACCUUGCUGAUGGUAUAUACCCAGAAUGGGCUGCCUUCAUGAAGACUAUACCACUUCCCCAAAUAGAGAAGCACAAGUUGUUUGCCCAGAAGCAAGAAGGGGCAAGGAAAGAUGUCGAGCGCGCUUUUGGGGUAUUACAGUUCCGUUUUACCAUUGUCCGUCGGCCUGCACGUCUAUGGAAGAGAAAGAGUGUUGGAAGGAUCAUGAGGGCUUGUGUGAUUCUCCACAAUAUGAUAAUCGAAGAUGAGAGAGAGCAGGCAAAAAUUCAUAUUGACUUGAAUGAGAUUCCGGGGGCUUCAUUUGCUCCACCUCCCGAAGUGAAUGUUGGUGGUAAUCUAUGUUUCGCAGAUGUGUUGCGUAGAAAAGCUACUAUUCGUGCUCGUCCACAGCAUGCCCAACUUAAAAGUGAUUUAGUCGAGCAUA
Molecule: non-coding RNA, 984 nt
Organism: Aegilops tauschii subsp. strangulata
Lineage: Eukaryota; Viridiplantae; Streptophyta; Magnoliopsida; Poales; Poaceae
Source: RefSeq, a predicted model, not a curated record